GAUGAAGAACGCAGCGAAAUGCGAUAAGUAAUGUGAAUUGCAGAAUUCAGUGAAUCAUCGAAUCUUUGAACGCACAUUGCGCCCCCUGGUAUUCCGGGGGGCAUGCCUGUUCGAGCGUCAUUUCACCACUCAAGCCUCGCUUGGUAUUGGGCAACGCGGUCCGCCGCGUGCCUCAAAUCGACCGGCUGGGUCUUCUGUCCCCUAAGCGUUGUGGAAACUAUUCGCUAAAGGGUGUUCGGGAGGCUCCGCCGUAAAACAACCCCAUUUCUAAGGUUGACCUCAGAUCAGGUAGGGAUACCCGCUGAACUUAAGCAUAUCAAUAAGCGGAGGA
This 331-nucleotide unclassified non-coding RNA is filed under the name soil metagenome. Its description in RNAcentral is "partial contains 5.8S ribosomal RNA, internal transcribed spacer 2, and large subunit ribosomal RNA". The stretch from base 1 to 120 matches the Rfam family "5.8S ribosomal RNA", at positions 35 to 154 of the family's 154-position model. The record is from RNAcentral.